This 1423-nucleotide long non-coding RNA is filed under the name Mytilus galloprovincialis (Mediterranean mussel). Lineage: Eukaryota; Metazoa; Mollusca; Bivalvia; Mytilida; Mytilidae. The record is from RNAcentral.
UUCUCUAUGUUUAUAUUCCUGUUUUGACAUGUUUGGCAAAGAAAUGCAAGAAAUGUGUGAUCUACUUAUAUUUUAUUGCACAAUAAUGCAAUCACUAAUUGUGUUAACAUUUGUAUACAUAUAUUUUUUUCCUUCAAUUCUGACUUGUAAAAUGCAUUUGUGGAGAUUUGUAUGCAGCAUCUCAUGUAAUGUUUAUAAAAGCAAUUAUUUCCAUAAUGUAUAUGUGUAUAUAUUUUUAGCUGAAUAUUUUGCCAAUUGACACAACCAUAUGUCUACAUAAUAUGUGCAAUGUAUAUCAGAUUUUCUAAAGGCUAAAUGCUCGUGAUUUUUAAAACUUUUAGGUUUAGAAUAUCAAAAUGAACGAGUAGUAGAGAAUAUUGUUAGCUUUGUUUAAACAUAACAAAAAAAUAAAUUGCUAAUGCCUUGUUAUUUCACAGCCAGUUCAAGACUUUUGUUUUAAAACAUAUAAUGACUAUAUUGCAAAUAAAUACAGUGUAACUCGACUUAAAAUAACCAAAAUAACCCAAUGAAAAAACUAAAUGAACCAUCUUAUAUUUUGAUAUAACAAAUGGUUUUCAAUCUUAAUAUAAAGUCAUCUUUUUUCAAGUUUUGUUGAUGUGAGCAUGAUCAGAUCAACUGUCACAAAUGAUCACAAAUAUAGAACUUUGUCACAGUAACAAUCCUGCUUGAAAUGGAAUUUAACUUGUGUUAGAACUGCAUUUUUAUCUAUCUCUCAGCCAGAUCAGAAAUAAAUCUGUUGAAACAUAGACACCUUACCUCAGGAUCUCACACAUAACAAUUCAACUUGAAAAAUGUAUUACAAUUCAAUAACUAAAUGUAAUUAAAUUAAAUAUUUCUGAUAACUUAUAAAUUUUCAAACCACUAAAUAUGUAUAUAGAGAGAUGGAAUUAUGAUAUUGAAAAUCUAAUUUUUCCUGUUUCUUUUUCAUUUCAUAAAUAAGUUGCUAUAAAGUGCUCAAAAUAAAAAAUAACAAAAACCUAUUUGGCCCAUGCAACAAAUAUUUCAACUAUUAGGUGGUAUAAAAACUUGUGGCAAAUUUAUUUCCUAUUCUACCCUUGCCAAAUAUAUUCUAACAGCAAAAAGCCUUGUUUGGCAAAUUUUCCCACAGUCGAUAUGGAAACUAUGCAAAAGCUUGAUUGAACAAUAAUAUUUAGAAUAAUAAUCCUAAACUACAUGCUGGAAGUUUUUCUAGAAUUUAUUUUAUCUUUUGUCAAUGGUUAUCCAUACUUCUUCACUAGGAUGUGUUACAAGACCAUGCACAGGAGUAAUUACUUGACCCUCCACCAUAUUAAACUUGAACUUUCUUAGUAAGGACACAAAGCAGACAGUAGCUUCAGCAUAGGCAAAUCUAUAUCCAGGACAAAUCCUUUUCCCAGCAAAUCCAAAAGGUUGGAAAGCUAAA